GGAUGCAAAAACAAGUAUACAGGGGAUAGCAAGAAGGGAACUUCAAAUCUACCCAAACACUUAAAAAGUUGUUCAAAAAAUAGACGGAGAGAUGCAAAAACAAAUAUGUUUGUUCAAUGGCGAAGAGAAUGAAGUUAUCUAGCAUCACCUUCUAAGGACAUCAGUUGUCUGACAUCAUAUGAUCCAGAUUCUGAUGAUAAGUUCUGGGGAUUCCGUGAGUGGCGUAAGCAGAAAGAUGAUGGCGAUGUGGUUGAUUCACAAAAACUUGAUCUUAAUCGGUAUUUAGGAGAGCCUUUGGAAAACCUGGAUAAGGUUUCAGAUGUAUUAGCUUGGUGGCGAGUCAGUUCUCCAAGAUUUCCUACACUUGGUAAAAUGGCUCGUGAUUUCCUAGCGAUUCCAAUAUCAGCUACUGUAUCAAAGUCUUUUUUCAGUGGUGCAGUUGCUUUCAAUGGUUUCAGGCCAGAGAUCAUAUAGAGGCUUUAAUAUGCGGACAGGACUGGUUGGAAAGCCCUGAAAAUAAUUGAGUUCUUCACUGUCUACAGACAGGUGAUUACAAAAUGAUUCUUCCCCCUAAAUUUCUGAACAUCGUUUUCCUGUUUUUUUUCCUACCAUUAUUUGUUAAUGAAAUUUGGCUGCAAAGUCGCACACUUCCCUUGUAAUGAAUAUUAACAGGGUCAUGAUGAUGCAACGUUGAUCAAUUAUAGUAUCAAUUUGUUUAACCAGAUUGUUUUUUUAAGGUAUUAGCAUAUGUCUUACGCGUUGACAACAUGUGAACGUGAUUGUUCUGUUGUAACUAUAGUUUUCGUCACCUGAAAUUCAAUGGAGGGCACUGAACAUGAAACCAAUUUCGAUAAAAUGUUGGCAUUUUAUGGGAUGAUCAUUUUUCUCAAUUUGUUCUUGUCAUCCAUAUUUGCAGGAGCAAGGAAGGGAUUUCUGGUUCUUCACUGGUCUCAUCUGACUCACUUGUGAAGCAAAUGUCUAAAUAUCUGGUUGGUCCGUUUAGAGUGAGCAAACCUACCAGUCCAGAGGAUUUGAAGUUAAUCCAAUAGGUCUUCGACUCUUCACUGAAUGGGAGGUCAGAAUUUUUUCUAAAAGUUCUUGUUUGCUUAGCUGAACGAUUUUAAGCUUACCUGUUCUAUACUUGUUUGUGCUAGUGAGAUUGUUGUUCAAUGCAAUAAUUAUUAUUUAACUCGGCGGGAAUUAUGCCCCAUGAGACCAUAGCCCUGGCUUAAUGAUAACGUCCUGUCUACAUUCUUAGCUCAUAGAUACUACAUAAAAUGUUUGAAUGGCCCAUAUUAUGUUGUAUUGAUCAAUGAUUAUACAUAAUAACGUGAUUACACUGAAUUUCAACAUGCAAAUACAAACAUUAACAGGAAAAAAUAUAUGUCAUGUGACGCUGGUGUCUAGUAGCAGAAAUUGCAGAUUGCAAUAACAAGCAACGAAAUGGCAUAGAUUAUCCAAGUAGCCCCCUUGAGACCAGGGGGGAAUGGGAUUGAAAUGAUGAUGAAAAACACGGUGGCUGCCAGGAAAACUGCGACUUUACCCAACACUUUGGAUGUCCUCGGAAACUUGGCAGGGUUGAUAAAAUGUGACACAAAGAGGCAAGAAAAGAUAAUUGCAACGAGGAUACAGACUAAAUGCAAGGAAUCGAGUUUGGAAUCAGUAAUUUUGUGAAAAUGAAGGGCUAUUUCAAUUCCUGAUGUGAAGCAGGUGCUUAUAAGCGUAUUUUGCCAUUCCAUUUCCUGCUUAGCAUGGAACAUAUUGACCAUCUCUUCUUCUUGGUUCAUGGUGGGAGGUGGUAGCUGCUGUGAUUCUAGUUGUCCUGCUCUAUACCAGAGUCGGGACACAGAUUCUGGAAUUGAAAGAAUGAAACCCUUGAUAACUCGAGCACCAUUCUCCAUGGUUUUCCUGUACGCUAUAAAGCUUGAGAAGACUAGGAAAUAAUUUAUAAGAAACGAAAAAAACUGUCGGAAUAAUAUGCUUAUGAUACCUUUAUAAAAGUUUUUAAUAUCAAAAAUAAAUUAUUUAAAAAAUAUAUUUUAAUUUAUUUUUAAAUAAAAAAAUACUUUAAAGAAUAAAUAGUAGCAGCAGUAAAGCUUCAAAGUCAACAAGUGCUAGAAUGGAGAAUGUAAUAAUGAUGUACACAGAGAAAAGAACUAAGAAAAUGGAGAAACGUAGAGAAACAAUGGUAAAUCCUCUCUCUUCUUCUUUUUUAGUUUUUUCACAGAAAGAAACAAAUUAACUCAAAAGCUCAGAGAGAAUUUGCACACCGGAAAAAAUGCAAAAAACCUUAAAUUAUCGUUGUAAAAAAGAAACAGAUCGAGAAUCACCUGAAUAUUCAGCUUUAUAUGCCAGAAUACGUAUGGUACACCGUCAGUGCAGUUCUUUCCUCAGCUCUUCAUUAAUUUGAUCUUGGGUCUAUUUUGUUUCACCAGGCUUUGUUGUUUGCUUUGUGGGGGUUUGAAUAUGAAUACUGCUUGCAAGAAUGGUGGCUUUAUUUAUACUCGAGGGGCUUGGGUCCCAGUGCUGGCUGGGAAGGAACGUGUCAACAUUCUGAAGAGAAAACGCUGUUAAAAAGCGAUACUGGAUUCUUGGGUGCUGGUGGAGCCCGACUCUUUACUCUUUUCUAGCAUCUUUCGCUUUCACACCGUCCAGUAGUUAUUUUUUAAAUAAUUUUUUAUAUUAAAAUAUAUAUAAAUAAUAUUUUUUAUUUUUUAAAAAUUAUUUUUAACAACAAUAAAUAAAAACGAUUCAAAAUAUAUUAAAUAUAUUAAAUUUUAAUAUAAAAAAAGUUUUGAAUUUUUUGACAACGCGGUUCCCACCGCGUUACCAAAUUGUUUCUAUCUCUCGAAAAGCAAAGAGAUGAAAGAAAAUCUUUGAGAAAAUGCUGUUAAAAAGCGAUACUGGAUUCUUGAGUGCUAGUGGGAGCCGACUCUUUACUCUUUUAUAGCCCCUCGCGCAAGACAGUUGAGGUUUAAUUAGUUGUUAAUCAAAUAAAAUUCCGGUUUAAUUAAUUUGGGUCUAUUUUGUUUCACCAGAAUUUUAUUUUAUUAAAAUUCCGGUUUAAAAUUUUUGGUAAUUAUAAUAUUUUCAAGAGAGUUUUUGUGAUUAUAAUUGGAUAGUUUCUUUGAAUUCUUGAAAUUAAUGUUAAGAAAUGCGUUGUUGUGUUGAAAGUCUGUUAAUUCUAUGGCAAUGCUUAGAGACCAACCUCCAGCUUGGUGUUAUUCCCAUCAGUGCAUUGCUGUGUUGAAAGUCUGUCAAUUCCAUGGGACAUUGUCAUAUUAAUUUUUAUUUUUGGAAGAAAAAACCAAAAUUAAUGGGCCCCGCAUCUCUAGCAAAAGAUGCGGGGCCCAUUAUUUUGUAUACAUCCUUUCAUUCUACCUCUUGAAAAGUAAAGCGAUGAAAGAAAAUCUGCAUGCAUCCUUUCAUUCUCCAUGGUUUUCCUGUGCUAGCUAUCGUGCUCUAUUUAUAGAUAUUGUACUAGGGUUAGUGAGGUUUGAUAAAGUAAUCAGAGUUCGUGAAAAUGAGUGCACGUUGCAUAUUCUAUUUGAAGUCCAGAGUCAGUGAAAAUGAGGCCCACCUAGAAAAAGAAGAACCUGUUGCGUCUAUGUUUUAUUUAAAACGCAGAUAGAACCUGUUUGUUAAUUUAAAACGCAAAUAGAACCUAUUUGAUUAACAAAACAACACAGUUUAUUAUAUAUGGGUUCCACGUAAAUUUAUAUUCGAGACGCAAAAAAAAAAAGAAGCAGCAAAAUGCUGCUUCUUGCGCACUGUUCAUGCCAAUUAAUUAGCAUGAACAGUGUAGCACAUACACUGUUCACGCCAAUUAAUUAGCAUGAACAGUGUAGCACAUACACUGUUCAUGAUAAAAAUAAUCAGCAUGAACAGUGUAGCAUACACUGUUCACGCUGUGUAGCAUACACUGUUCAUACUAAAAAUAAUUAGCAUGAACAGUGUAGCAUACACUGUUCUGGUCCGACCGGUUCCGGUUCAAAACUUUAAAUGCAUUGAAAUAGGUCCGACCCAGUACAAUAAAAAAUAAAAAUUAUUUUUUAUUUUUUAAUUGUGUUUUAUUCAAAAAACUAAUAUUUAACAUUAUUCAAUAACCCAUUGUCGGAUGUAUUUCAUACGUGAUGAAAUUGUAAAUAGUUUAAUGAAAUAAUAAAAAAUAUUUUAUAUAAAGUAUUAUUUAUUUCAUGAUGUAAUAACAAUAGUUAAAUCUACAAUAUUUAAAUUAAAAACCAUCAAUAUUAAUAUAUAUUUUUUAAAAUUAUUUUAUAAUCUCAACUUCAAAAGCAUUAUUAACCAAACACAUUAAACUACUUUUUGUUCAAACUCAAUUUCAACUACAGUUUUAACCAAACACCUAUUUUUUCAAACCAACCUCAACUAAAAGUACUUUUUAUAAAACAAUUUUUUUCAAAUCACAACCACAACAGCUACUGCAAUACCAAAACACUCAAAGCUCUCAAGAUAGAUAUAUCUAUCUCUAUGGCGUCACAUGGGCACCACACACAAGAUUGACCCGUCGUAGGAUAAAAGGAGAGGCUCGGCUCAUCUUCUAUCGUCGAGGGUGGCUAUCAUGGCUACGUGGAUUGACCUUCUCUGUUCUUAUGUAGCAAAAGGAAAGUGAAUAAAAAUGAUUGACUUUAGCUCAAAGUAAUAAAGAAUUGAGUUGUUGGGCGACUGAGAAUAAUAAUAACAACAACUUAUUUGUUUUUAUUUUUUUAAUUUAUUUUUCUAAUAUUUUCAUAUUAUUUUAAAAUAUUUUUAAGUGAAAAAUAUUUUAAAAAAUAUUUUAAAGGUAAAUAUCAAGCUUGAUAUUUAAAAGAAUAUUAAUAAAAUAAUAUAUAUAUAUAUAUUAUUUUAUUAAUAUUCUUUUAAAUACCGGAAGUUUUUAAUUGGUAUGGUAAUUUUUUAAAAAAAAAAACGUUAGAAUUCUGGCUAUGAAUUUAAGUCACGUGGCUCUAAGAGUGGGAAGAAUUAACAAAUUUAGCGGGAAGAAUGGCAAAACCAAAGUAACCAUUUAACAUAUUUACAAAUUACUAGACACGUGGCUUCACAUUAACAACCUAAGUCGGUAGUCGAGGGGCUUGGGCUGUGUUAAACCGUGGAAGGGUAUUUGGGCCCACGUGACGUUACUUUCAAAUUUACAAAUUUUGCCCCAGACUCGAGUAUAAAACCACCCCCCCCCCCCCCCCCCCCAAGCAUCAACAAGACCUGCUCUUGCUCUCGCCUUGGAUUGAACAAGACCUGCUCUUGCUCUCGCACCCCCGCACCCCCCCCCGGCGCGAGGAGGAAAAUCUCCCGUGCCUCCCCCCCUCUCCCCAAGCAUCAACAAGACCUGCUCUUGCUCUCGCUCUCGCUCCUGGGCGUGAACAAGACCUGCUCUUGCUCUCGUGCUCCCCCCCACCCCCCCUCCCCCCCCAAGCAUCAACAAGACCUGCUCGUGCUCUCCCCCCUGGGUGCGAGGAAAAUCUAUCGUGCUCCCCCCCCUCCCCCCAAGCAUCAACAACCCCCCCCCCCCCCCGGGGCGCGAGGAAAAGCUCUCGUGCUCCCCCCCCCUCCUCCCCCCAAGCAUCAACAAGACCUGCUCUUGCUCUCGUGCGUAGUCGUGCGAACAAGACCUGCUCUUGCUCUCGCGCUCUCGCCCGACCUGCUCUUGCUCUCGUGAUCUUGGACUCGCAAGAGCUGUUAAAACCGUGGUAGGUUACUUGGCCCCACGUGACGUUACUUUCAAAACCAAUUUACAAAUUUGCCCAAGGCUCUAGUAUCGUUUAGCACACGCCAGAGUCUGCAAGACGGACUCGCAAGAUUGUUGCCAUAUCCGUAGGCAAGACCCAAACCCUCCCUGUAAAUUCCAUAGAAAAGGCGAUUCCAUAGAAAAGGUGGAUAAGAAUAUAUAUAGCGUUGCCAUAUCCGCAAGACCGAAACCCCCCCUGUAAAUUCCGUAGAAAAGGCGGAUAAGAAUAUAUAUACGGAUACCCCCCCAUAUAUACCGUAGGCAAGACGGACCCCCGGCACAACAUAUUCACGACCACAGCACUUAUACAAACAAUUCAAUCUAGUAAUUUAAGUUUUUAUAUAAAAUUUUAAUAAUUUUAAAUUUAUUCUCUUACACAAUUUUUAUAAACAGGAUUCAUAUUCAAACCCUACUGCAAACAACAAAGCCUGCAGCACUCAGCUCUUAAUUAAUUUGGGCUAUUUUAAUGAAGAGCUGAGGAAAGAACUGCACUUAUUGUAUACGAAGCAAACAACAAAGCGGUGAAACAAAAAGACCCAAACACGCUCGAAGAGCUGAGGAAAGAACUGCACUUACUCUAUAUACCAUAAGUAUUCUUGCAAAUAAAGCUGAAUAUUCAGGUGAUUCUCGAUCUGUUUCUUUUUUACAACAAUAAUUUAAGGUUUUUUGCAUUUUUUCCUUUGUGCAAAUUCUCUCUGAGCUUGUGAGUUAAUUUGUUUCUCUCUGUGAAAAAACUAAAAAAGAAGAAGAGAGAGGAUUCACCAUUGUUUCUCUACGUUUCUCCAUUUUCUUAGUUCUUUUUUCUGUGUACAUCAUUAUUACAUUCUCGAUUUUACACUCGUAGACUUUGAAGCUUUACUGCUGCUAGUAUUUAUUCUUUAAAGCAUUUUUUUAUUUAAAAAUAAAUUAAAAUAUAUUUUUUAAAGAAUUUAUUUUUUAUAUUAAAAAUUAAAAAAAUUAAAUUUCCUUCAAAAUAUUUUUAAAAAGAACUGUAAAAAUCUCAAAUUAACAAAAAAACUAUUAUAAUUAUAUAUAAAAAAAACUUUUAUAAAAGUAUCACAAGCAUGCUAUUCCGACAGUUUUUUUGUUUUUUAUUAUUUCACAGUCUUCUCAAGCUUUAUAGCAUACAGCACAGGAAAAUCAUGGAGAAUGGUGCUCGAGUUAUCAAGGGUUUUAUUCUUUCAAUUCCAGAAUCUGUGUCCCGACUCUGGCAUGGAGCAGGACAAUUGGAAUCACAGCAGCUACCACGUCCCACCAUGAACCAAGAAGAAGAGCCGGUCAACAUGUUCCAUGCUAGGCAGGAAAUGGAAUGGCAAAAGACGCUUAUAAGCAACUGCUUCACAACAGGACUUGAAAUAGCCCUUCAUUUUCACCAACCUACUCAUUCCAAACUCGAUUCCUUGCAUUUAGUCUGUGUCCUUGUUGCAAUUAUCUUUUCUUGCCUCUUUGUUUCACAUUAUAUCAACCCCGCCAAGUUUCCAAGGACAUCCAAAGUGUUGGGUAAAGUCGCAGUUUUCCUGGCAGCCACCGUGUUUUUCAUCAUCAUUUCAAUCCCAUUCCCCCCUGGUCUCAAGGGGGCUACUUGGAUAAUCUAUGCCAUUUCGUUGCUUGUUAUUGCAAUCUGCAAUUUCUGCUACUAGACACCAGCGUCACAUGGCAUAUAUUUUUUUUCUGUCAAUGUUUGUAUUUGCAUGUUGAAAUUCAGUGUAAUCACCUUAUUAUGUAUAACCAUUGAUCAAUACAGCAUAAUAAAGGCCAUUCAAACUUUUUAUGUAGUAUCUAUGAGCUAAGAAUGUAGAAAGGACGUUAUCAUCAAGCCAGGUCUAUGGUCUCAUGGGGCAUAAUUCCCGCCGAGUUAAAUAAUAAUUAUUGCAUUGAACAACAAUCUCACUAGCAGAAACAAGUAUAGAACAGGUGAACUUAAAAUCGUUCAGCUAAGCAAACAAGAACUCUUAGAAAAAAUUCUGACCUACCAUUCAGUGAGGAAUCGAAGACGUAUUGGAUUAACUUCAAGUCCUCUGGACUGGUGGGUUUGCUCACUGUAAACGGACCAACUAGAUAUUUAGACAUUUGCUUCACAAGUGAGUCAGAUCUCACAUUUAAGGAGACCAGAGAAGAACCAGAAAUCCCUUCCUUGCUCCUGCAAAUAUGGACGACAAGAACAAAUUGAGAAAAAUGAUCAUCCCAUAAAAUGUGAACAUUUUAUUGAAAUUGGUUUCAUGUUCACUGCCCUCCAUUCAAUUUCAGGUGACGAAAACUAUAGUUACAACAGAACAAUCACGUUCACAUGUUGUCAACGUGUAAGGCAUAUGCUAAUACCUUAAAAAAACAAUCUGGUUAAACGAAUUGAUACAAUAAUUGAUCAACGUUGCACCAUUAAGCUUAGGAAAUGCAAAUCAAAUUUAGCUUUUGCUAUUGUUUUAGCAUCAUUACAAGGGAAGUGUGUGACUUUGCAGCCAAAUUUCAUUAACAAAUAAUGGUAGGAAAAAAAUCAGGAAAACGAUGUUCAGAAAUUUAGGAGGAAAAUCAUUUUGGAAUCAAGAAGUGCACUUUCCUAUUGAUGUUCCACUCCACUAGCACAUUUUUCACAGCUUCAUUCAUAUAACCAUGUUCUAUAUUCCUGAAAGCCAAAAUCUUCUUAUUCAUCCUCCACCCAUCAUCAAUAAAAUGCAUGCUCAAGCAGCAGGACAUCUUGUUAUCACCGUAUGACUGCAAAUCAAUUGUUAAAUUAAAUAGAGAUGAGAGAUUAUCAAGAUAUUUCAUUAGUUUCUCUUUCUCUUGUCCGUAAAUAGAAAGAGCAUCAGCCUGAACAGUGUCUUGUGAACAGAGUUGAAACUUUAGCUGCAGAUCGCAGACAAAUGUUUUGAAGACCUCAUUUUGAACCAUAUCCAAUGGACAUCCGAGCUUCAUAGUCAUUCUAGCAAGGUUAAGGCAACUCCUUUCUUGAUCAAACACGAAAUUCCCUCCCAAGGCAAUGUAUGUUGUUUUGCAUCUCUCCGUCUCUUUUUUUGAACAACUUUUUAAGUGUUUGUGUAGAUUUGAAGUUCCCUUCUUGCUAUCCCCUGUAUACUUGUUUUUAAAUCCUUUACAUAUGGCCCAUACUGCACCAUUUUCUUCUUCAACCUUAUCGAACCAUUUCCACACUUCAGAUACCUUUCGUCAGCACAUAUGAUGAACAUAUUACCAUCAGGACCUGGAUAAAGUUCAAUUAUAUUAUCGUUUUUACUAACUUUAGAACCUCGUUUCCUAAGUAAUUCUUCUUUUGAAAACAUUCUCAAACUCUUACAAGUUUUCCGUAGUGUAAGCUUCAGGUUCCUAACCAAGUCUUGCUGGUCUGAACUCUCUCUUUCAUGAGGAUAGGGAGAAAGAACUCUAAUAUAUAGAUAUAACCAGCACCAGUGCUCCAAAGCCGGAUUGCAACUGCAGCAUUCAAAUUAUACUUUCGUGCGUGAUGAGCAAGAGGAUACUUGCUUACAUGAUUUUCCUUCGCAUCAAUAAAUUAAAUUAAAUUACAAUAAAAUCUGAUAAAGAAAGUCAAUAAUAUUCUAAUAAAUGAGUAAUUUAAAUAAAAUAAAAAAAUAGAUAAUAUAAAUCAAUAAAUUAAUGACAUGGAAAAAUAAAAAAUCUUGGAACAGAACUUCUCAAUAUAAGAGAAUCAUUAAAAGGUAAGAAGUACACAUAAAUCUAGUAACAACCUGGUUGUUCCCAUUACAAUAAGUCCUGAUAGACUCCUUUUGCGUUGCACGCUAAUGAAUCUAAACUAGUAAUUAACUAAUAUGAAUUCAAUAAUAAAAUAAACCCUUAAACAAUGUCUAACGCACUAGAAAAAAAAUUAAAUUAAAAAUAAUUAUUUAAAAUAAAUAAAAAAGAAUAAUAAAAAAGUCCUCAUGUUAGAAUUCCUUCAUGUAGUCCGAAUCUCUAAUUUUUAUAUAUUCUUGGCAGAUUUGAAUCCUGAUUUCAAACGUGUCAUUCUCUCUCAUUUGGAUGAAUUAUUGGGCCUACGAUAUAUGGUUGGAAAACUUUAGAUGUCUAGUUUCUAACUCAACUUCAAUCGAAGCAAAAUUCUACCGGUAGCUUCAGAUAUGUCCCAAACAGUACAAGAAGAUCUUUUUUGAUAUAUUUGACAAUAUUAGUUUACUAACUUUGAUCCUCUAAAAUAUUAUGUUCCCUAACUCUAUUUGACCUGAAAAUGUACCACAAUAUAUUUUUAUGUAUCUAAUAUUUUCGUGUAAAAUUUCAGUUUUAUCCAAUAUAUGGUUUGAAUGAUAUGUUCAAUCUCGCAAAACUAGUCAACAAACAUUUUAAGGUCAAAUUUGGACCUCACUUGGUUCAUAUCACAAAUUUAAUAAACUUGUAAAAUCAGACCAAGUUUACUGAUUUUACAAAUUUUGCAUGAGUUAAGUUUGAUUUUAUUAGUUUCAAGUUUUUAGUACAAUUUAGCAUGUUAAAUACAUAUUGACUCGUAAAAUUAAAAGAAAGAGGUGGAAUUUGUUGAUAAUCAGAUUCGGAGUCGUCAACCGAAUGUUAGAGUUUGAGAAAAGUUUGAUGCAGGACAAUAAAUAAUAAAAUUAAAGCAAGAACAGAAAGAAGCUUUAAAAAAGAAAGAAGCUGAAGAAGAGAAGAAAAGGGAUUGGAGAUAUGCAAAGUCUGCAAUAGUUUCAUUAAUCAUCCAAAAUUGUCUCUCAAGAUGACAGAAGAACAUAUAAAUAGUAAACCCUAAAACAUCCCGCUAUUAGGCGUGGCCCAUCAAAUCAAACUGUUUAACAUAAAUAAUAAAAUAACAAUGAGCAGGCCCAAAUAGGCUAAAUAAAUAAAAUAACAAUGAAAUAGGUCCAGAUGGGCUUAGUCUCCAAAUCAAAGCGUGACAGGCUGGGUCAUCCUACGUCGUCUUCGUCCAUAUACUCGUGUAGUUUGUGGUGUGGGUCUGGUGUCCCCAUCAACUCUCCCGGGGUUAGAGAAACUCGACCCUGUCGAGUGUAGCAUUGGCCGACUCUGAUAGUACUCUCAAAGAUCUGGAUCAAGCUGCUGCAAAGUAUCUCUAGUAAUCCAAGUGCAAUUUGAGUCAAGUCGACCCACCCAGCGAACUAGAAACCGUUCAACCUUGUUGUUACUCAUUUUUGGACCCCAUGUUUGUUGGAAGAUUGACAAAAGCAGAUGGAAUAAAUAUUUUUUUUGAAAACCCUGUUUGAGCUUUUUUCAGCUCUCUUUAUCCUUCCCCUUUGCUGCAAAAAAUCAUUAGGUUUUCUUAGGUUGAUCAGGAGUCUUCAUAAUGCUAAAUUCAUUCCUUUUUUAUUUGGUUUUUAAGGUUGAAUAAAUCCCUCAGAAUUUGCAAAAAAAACAAAUGGUUCUGUUGUUGUCACAAUUUUUUGUUCCAACGUAUGCUCUGAUUCUGACUCGGUUUCGUACGAUAUCUGACCAUCCUAGGUAUAUUUUGUCACUCAUGACAUGUUAAAAAAUUGACGUACACCUUUAUUAGGUCCUAGGGAUCAUUGUUCUUAGGGCAGACUCUCAGUCAGAUUUGGAUGCUUGGCAUUGUCAGAUCAAGAACCUUUUUUACCAACCAUAUUACUGCCACUCCUUCAUCAAAUUUGUAGUCCGGGACACGUAUAUGAAUUUGAACUUUCAAAUUGCUUGAUUUCAAUAUCAGAAGCUCAAGAUAUUCCUGUUUGAAAUCUAGCGUGAAAACAUAAAAUCCUGCCGCGAAAAGGUUUCCAGUCGAGUUUGGUUGCAAUUCUGUUAUUCAAAACGAAUUUAUCUCACUUUGAAUCCUUCAUCAAAGUUGUAUUCUGGGACACGUAGAUGAAUUUGGGCUUUUGAAUCGCUUGAUUUCAAAAUCAAAAGCUCAAGAUAUUCCCGUUUGAAUAUCUAGUGUUGAAAGCAGGGAUUCCUGGCCGCGAGAAGGAUUUUUGCCCAAGUUCGUGGGACUGAUUUGAAGGAUUUUUUUUUUACCAAGGACUGAAUUGAAAUGUGCUAAAAUGAGGGAUUGAAUUAAAGAAGGACAUUGAAAGCUGGAGAGGGGAGCUAGAUCAUCAUAAAUGACAUGUUUUUACCACACCGAAUAAGGAAAAUAGGACUUUGCAGUUGCACCCUCCAUCUGAUUUCUUUCCUUUUUUCUCUGCUAUUUUCCUUUCUCAUCACGCCUGAUUUUUGGAGCUGAAGACCACGUUUUUGUUGCCUCAUUUCAAAGGGAGCAGCUGGCCCUAUGGAAGGAAAGAAAAGAGCCACACCUUCCUCUAAAACUGGAAAGAAAUCAGACGUAAAGCACUAACACAAAAUCAGAAUAUUGCGAUUUUCUUUUUGCGUUUCUUUUACUGCAAAUCAGUAGGGAUUUGCGUCCUAGGAUUAAUGCAUUGAAUCCUUCCUAAAUAGAGACAUAUUUAGACUAUAUAUAAGCCCUUCUAAUGACCUAACGGGGGCAGCAAAAAGAGAGCAGAAAAAUAAGAAAAGAGAGGAGAGAAUAGAGAACGAGAGAGAGAGACAACAAAAGAAAAACCAGAAAGACGUCUUUGCUCCAUUUGUUUUUCUGCAAAUAAAAACUGCAGAAACGGGAAAAGAAAGUUAGGAAUCAGUAGAGAAAGUGAUGGAGGUGCAGAGUCAAGAAGGAGGCAAUAAGCAGACCUAAACACAGAACAGAAGAAGGACACAGACCGAACAACCAUCACUCUUUCAACGCCACUGCAGUUUCUUCGUCUCCAGGUUUGUUUUCUCUUCACCUGUUGCAUGCUUUGUUUUUCUUUGUGUGUGCACUGUUAGCGUGGUCUCGUUACUUUGUGUUGUUUUUGUGUCUGUACUGUUCAAGUAAAUUAAUUCACUUGAACAGUAGCUCUCCAUUCACAAAAGAGGACUGCGCCCCUUUUGUGUCCAGCCUGGUCACUUGCCUCAAUUCUUUUUAAAAAAAAAAUAAAAGAAAGAGAAAGAGAUUUAUUUUCUGGAAUAUUUAUUUUAAAUUCUGAAUAUUUUUUUAUGUUGUAAAAAAUAUAUAUACCAAUCUCGUAUUUAGAAUGCCAGGUUUUCGACGCAAUUGUGGCAAAUAUACAUAUAUAUAUCAAAAUUUGUUUUCUUGUGUGUUACAUACGGCUAAUACCCUAACAUGUUUUGAAUUUUUUUUAUACAAAAAAUAUUGGAAGUUUUGAAAAUGUGUUUUCGCAUGGAUUUCUUAAACACAAAAAAAAAUUUGUUUUCUUGCAUUUCUGGAUUUUACAACAUGUUUGUAAAACUCCAAAGGGUACUGGCCAAUAUUCCAAAAAAUAUAAAAAUCUUAUUUUGGAGGGAAUUCAUCUAUUAUUCACCGCUAAUGUUUGGAUAAAGAAAUCCUUAAAGGACAAAUAUGCAAAAUAUUAUUAGGAAUAAUUUGUUAUUAUUCACUGUUAAUAUUUGGAUAAAGAAACCCGGAGUGGUAAAUAUCCAAGAUAAUUUUCUAGGAAUAAUAAAUCCACACACAUCUUUGAAAGAAGCCUUGAUUAUAAUCGAGGACAUUUCAAAUUUUUUUACUCCACGAUUUACGAGUCGUGAAAGUAUAAAACACUAAGGCAAAAAUAGGCUUUUAAAGCGCCCUAGAUUUCUAAAUUUUUGUCCCUCCUCCUUGUGAUUUACGAGUCGCAAACUCUUGAAAUACUAAGGGAAAAAUGAGCUUUUGAAGCACAUGGAAUCUCCUUGGAUUUCUAUCUUAAUCAAUUUAGCUUGAAUCAAACCUAAGAAAACUGAUGGGAUUAGAAAACACCAACACCAUAGCAAUUAUAAAGCAAACCAAACACCAAGCAGCUUACCUUAGGUAGGGCAUACUAGGGGUGUUAAUACCUUCCCUUUACGCAACUAGUCUCUUGCCUUAGAAUCUCUGAAAGACUAGUUAGGGUUCCUAGUGACCAUAAUACUAGGUGGCGACUCCCCCUUUUACAUAAAUCAAAACAAAAAAGACCCCGAAAUCAAUCGAGGAUCGUUGCGCUCCACCGCGAGGGUGCGACAAACCUCACCAUUCCUGUUAAAAACAACUUGUUCAUCCAGAAUAGCAUCAAUAUUAUCUUUUUGUGCUGAUGUCAAGGUGAAAGGGAUAGAGGUUUCAAUAGGAUCAUUAGGAGGGGAGUUAAGUGGUAUCUCAAAUGGAUCAUUUGGAAUAGGAAGUGGUUUGUGGUAUGCAACUAGAUCCUCAAUGUUAAAUAUAGAGCUAAUGCCAAAAUCAUAUGGUAAAUCAAGAACAUAAGCAUUUGGACCAACCCGUUGUAGCACUUUGAAAGGCCCGGCACUACGUGCAUGCAAUUUUCGAUUAGCUCCCGAAGGAAACCGCUCGGGUCUAAUCCAUAUCAUAACAUAGUCUCCCACAUUAAACUCAUUAUGUCGUCUAUAUAAAUCAGCUUGAAGUUUAUAUUGCGCAUUACUUGCUUGAAUCUGUUUAGUGAUCUCAAUAUGCAAAUCCUGAAUUCUAUGUGCAAAAGACUCGGCUGACUCAAACACUCUAGCAUGAAGGGACAUGGGAAAAGGUCUAAAGGUUUCCUAGGUUUGUAACCAUGUACAACUUCAAAGGGACUCAUGCCUAUUGACCUAUUGAUAGAGCUAUUAUAGGCAAACUGGGUCGUAGGAAGAAUCAGAUCCCAAUUCCGAUUAUGAUCACUCACUAGACACCUUAAAAUGUUGCCCAAACUCCUGUUAACAACCUCAGUUUGACCAUCAGUUUGAGGGUGGUAAGCAGUAGAAAACUUCAAUUUGGUUCCCACCAUAUGCCAAAGGGUUUUCCAGAAAUAACUUGUAAAUCUAACAUCCCUAUCCGAAACUAUGGUUUGGGGAAGACCAUACAACUUGACAAUCUCGUCAAAGUAGAGUUUUGCAACUCUGGAAGCAUCUGUGGUCUUAGUACAAGGAAUAAAAUGGGUCAUCUUAGAGAAGCAGUCGACAACCACAAAAAUAGAAUCAUGUUUCUUUGCGCAAAAUCCAUGCUUACAUCUUGCCAAGGGCAAGUAGGAACGGGCAAUGGGAUGUAAAGACCAGUAUUUUGUUUUCUAUGCUUAGCUAAUUGGCAAGUUCGACGUUGACUUGCCAAUUUGGCGACAUCUCUUUUCAAACUAGACCAAAAAAACUGACGUUCCACCUCUUCGAUGGUUUUAUUCCUUCCAAAAUGUCCUGAGAGACCUCCAGCAUGAAUCUCCCAUAUCAAAAAAUCACGCAUGGAUGUUUUCGGGAUACAAAGCUUAUUAUCUCGAAAUAAAUAUCCAUCUUGGAGGUAAUAACCAUUUAUAACACAGUGAUUCUUAUCUUUCAAUGUCAAGUAUAUUUCUCCAAAUUCUAAGAAAAAAGGAGGAAUAACAUUGCCUGUGUUUUUCGUUUGUAAUCCAUUCUCACACCUUGCUUUGCGUCGUACUGUAGGCCUAGAAGAAUUGAAGAUUUAUUAUCAACAUUUGAGCAAAUUGAGUUUUGAGCUGUUGAAAUAAAAAAAAACCUCUGUCUUACACUGAAACAGAGACGUGCGUUUGUAGGCCUAGAAGAAUUUGUUAUGCUACCAUUCAUUUUCAUUGAAGCUAGAAUUUUCGACAUUGGAAAUCUCAUCUGGCAAAUCAACAAAAUUCUUCAUAUUUUCUGUGACCUGUAACUGCCUUUAGCCAUAUUACCAUCAUAGCUAUGAACAAAAACACCACUAUCGACUGCUACAACAUAGUCCAUGGCAGCUAGAUGGUUUUGGGAGUCCUUAUUUGGCUUCAAUUCUUCUUCCUUUUCCAGAGAGAAAUGAGCGUAUAUAUUUAGGUACUUAGCUCCGAGUGAUUUAAUUCCGUCACGACCAUAAUUUUUCCCUGCAGAAGUAAAUCCCAUCGCCUUAAGAAACACUGCAACUAAUCUCUGUUGUAGUCAUGGGGCAAAACCCUUCAAAUCACUGCUUUGUGCCUUUGAUCAUUUUGUUCUCCGAUGUGCUACUCCAUUUAUUCCGUUAACUCCUUAUUCUCAGUUUCUGUAAGAAUGUGAUGGCAACCUGUGAAAGCCAGCAUGCCUUUUUCAUAUCUCCAAUCGGUGCUGCUUAGUUAGCAAGAUCUAGCAAAGUUAUCGUGUCAUGUUGUUUUUUCAGGUGCCUCAAGGGAAGAGCCAUGAACGGUCGACCAUCAUUCCUGAGUCUUGAGCAGCUUUUUGCGAGGGAGUUCUGACCACAUUAAAUGAUUAUAAGAGUGUGUUUGGUAUUGUGGUAACUGUUGUGGUUGUGGUUUAAAAAAAGUUGUUUUAAAAAAAGUACUUUUAGUUGUGGUUGGUUUGAAAAAAUAGGUGUUUGGUUAAAACUGUGGUUGAAAUUGAGGUUGAAUAAAAAGUAAUUUAAUGUGUUUGGUUAAGAAUAAUUUUGAAAUUAAGGUUAUAAAAUAAUUUUAAAAAAUAUAUAUUAAUAUUGAUGGUUUUAAAUUUAAAUAUUGUAGAAUUAAUUACUCCUAUUACAUCAUGAAAUAAAUAAUACUUUAUAUAUAAUAUUUUUUAUUAUUCCAUUAAACUAUUUAUAAUUCCAUUACGUACAAAAUUUAUCCGAUAAGAACUACAGUUUUCAUAAUAUUUUGAACGUGUAAUAAAAUUAGAUAAAAUAUUACCAGGUAUAAAAUUGAUAUUAUAGUGCGAGUGAAUUUAAUUCACUAUAUACUAGUUUUUCAGGAAAAAAAAUAUUGUUCACAUCAUAGUGCGAAUAAAUUUAAUUUACUCUAAAACUAAUUUUUUUUUAUAUGUAUUAAAAAAAAAAAGUGUGUGAACAGUGCAAGUGAAUUGCACUGUUCACGUGAACAGUGCAAUUCAUGCUUGAACAGUGUGCGCUACACUGUUCAUGCUAAUUAAAUUUAGCGUGAACAGUGUCCACAAAGCAGCAAAAUGCUGCUUCUUUCUUUCCUGCGUCUCGGACGCGAAAAAUCAUGAGGCCCAUACACAGUAAAAUGUAUUCUUUUUGUUACCAAACGGGUUGCAUCUGCGUUUUAAACAAAACGCGGACGCAACCUAAUUGGCAAACGGGUUCUAACAAAACAUAGGGUACAUAUGGGUAGAUUUAGCCAUUUAGGGAUGUGACCCAGAAUAAUUCAUAUAAAGAAACACUUAAUAUGAAUUACAUUUAUUAAAUAAAAUUAUUUAACAUCAAUAUCAACUAUUUUAAUAAUCAAAAUCAUCAUUAAUGAUAUUCUUUUUCUAUAUUAAUAUAUUAAAACAAUAUGAUAUAAAAAUACUAAUAAAUUUUUAAUUUAAAAUAAAUAAUUUUUUUAAAAAUAUAAAAAUAAAUAAGUUGAGGGUAGGAUUGUUAACCUUCAUUUCACAUCAGUGCCUUCUUUUAUGGACCAAAACCCAGAAAAAAAAAUCUCAAGCUUUAUACACGGGCAAAAAAAGGCAGUCUUUACUUAUAUUUAGCUUUAUCCGCGUGCUUAUAUGUAUAAAGAAGACAAAUAUGGAGGUGGGUUUGGGGUGUUAUUGUUGAUAUUGGAGUGUGGAAGUGAUCACGGAGGCUUUGUAUACUGCAAAUUUUUGGAUGUCAUAUUACUAGACUGUCCUUGCUACUCAUAGAAAGGAGGUGAGUGAUGUACUAAUUAGACCAUGGAUGUUGAGAUAUUUGUUUAUUGGCUGCUGAAAGCUGAUAUAUCUUGAUUUCUUGGUGUGUGCAGGCGCAGGAUUGAAGAAAGUGAGGUUUUGCUUUCUGGGUUAUUUCUGUCGAAACAGGUAAAAGGUUAGGUUUUUCAAGUGUAAUUAUUGAGAUGUUUUUAGUUAUUCAAGAACAAAAAAAUGACUAAAGAGAGGAAAUUGAGCUGUUCUGUUUUGCGGGUAGAUAAAAAUCUGUGCAGAAAGAGUGAAACUUUGAAAGAUAUUAGGAAACGAAGAAUUGAGUUCUUUGUAUGGUAUUCUGAUUGAAAAGAGGGGAGAGUAUUUUGGUUAGUUAUAUAACUAACCAAAAUGGAGAACCCCUUCUCGUCGAAAGAAAUGUGGAUGGGUUAUUGGGCUUGGCCAAGAGCUCAAAUAGAUUGUGUCACACCUUUCGAUGUUUCUCUUAGGAAUUCAUUGUUGGAGGACCCAUUCAACUUUUUUUCAGAGCUUAGUAAUUUUGAUAUGUAUGCUGGAUGGUGCGACAGCCCGUUAGCUAUGGAUCAAAUGCUUGCUUUCGAUGGGAUGCCAUCUUUUCCAUCAACAUCCUAUCCAUCCUGCGUCCAGAAAGUUUUGCAGAACAAACUUCUGCUCCCUUACUGGAUAAAAUAAAUGCUUCUGAGACUUCUUACAAUGGUGGAGAUAAUGUGGUGCUUCAGGAAACGUAUUCCUAUUUUGGUUAUCCCUCAGAUUCCAUGGAUGCUGAUGAUCUGGGUGCAAAACACAGUAGUGGUGCUGGUCCACAAAACUGUUUCUAAAACACCUCUUGUAUUAUUUCUCAGCCAACUGGGCCAUCAUCACUUGCUGAGAGGAUGCUAAGGGCAUUAUCCUUGUUCAAGGAUUCAUCUGUAGGGGUUAUUUAAGUGCAGGUGUGGGUUCCCAUAAGGAGCGGGGAUCAAUACUUGUUGAGCACCUCAGAGCAACCAUUCUUGGUGUGACCAAAUUCUAGCAUGGUUUACCACUAGACCUUCCUGGUCGUCUGUUUAUCUCUAAGGUUCCAGAAUGGACUUCAAGGGUAAUUUAUUAUAGCAAGCCUGAGUACUUACGAGCAAAGCAUGCAUCUGAUCAUGAAGUACGAGGUUCUUUUGCAUUGAUCUUUGAUCCAGAUGAGAUGUCCUGCUGUGCUGUUCUGGAACUUGUCUCUGUGAAGGAGAAACCAGAAUUUAAUUCAGAGAUGAAAAUGUUUAGCUUCACUUUACUGUAUACUAUAUUGCAGAAGCUUUUGUUCUCUUCUAUCUUUAGAUGACAAAUUAUGUAACUUGACUAGCAACCUGUUUUCACUUAUUUGCAAUAACUUCGUGGUCUUGCAUAUUCUGCAUCGUUUAAGGAGAGAGAACAAAAUGUUGUUCAUAAAUAAGUUUCUCCCUUUAAGAUCCUCUUGUUCCAGCUUAUGCAAUAUAUUUGGAUUGGAGUCCAGCUUUAAGUACUUACUCUUGGUAUGUUGUUGAUAAAUAAGUUCCUUUCCCUUGCUACUAUGUUUUAGAACCAUAAUAUGCUGUAUUUUGAACAGGAAAUUGUUAGAUUUAUCUGCAUUUUUGCAAUAACUUCGUGGUCUUGCAUAUUCUGCAUCGUUUAAGGAGAGAGAACAAAAUGUUGUUCAUAAAUAAGUUUCUCCCUUUAAGAUCCUCUUGUUCCAGCUUAUGCAAUAUAUUUGGAUUGGAAUCCAGCUUUAAGUACUCACUCUUGGUAUGUUGUUGAAGAAUUACCUGGGGAACAAGGUUCUAAAGUUGGGAUUGAGGAAGGACCUGUACAAAGCAUCCCACCAGUAAAAACUGCAUUGUUUAAAGGGGACUUGAACUUGAUUGAUGGGAUUCCUCUUCCUGAAUCUGGUUCAGAAAAUGUUGGUGUGGAAUCGGAUGGUCCUUAUGUACAGGUAACAUUCUUAAACCACUUCAUCCAUAUUUGCGUCCCUUGUGUUUGGCCUUUUGUUUCGGUUCAAGUUGGCCUCAUUUGCAAGCUGCCUCCAGUAUUUGGCCAUGCCCAAUGCUUUUCAAAAAUUUGCUUGCUUAGAGGGAAAAAAAAGAUGAUACCCAAUAUUUUUAUAGCUCAGAAAGGGAUUUUAUGUAUUAGCUUACCUUUUCUGGCCCUCUUGCAGCUAGAAAAAACAAUGAUAAAAUUGAACCUGCUCCAGAUCCUGAUGGUAAACGACAAAAGGUAUCUGAAGUCUGGAAAGAUUUCGAUAAGUUUAUAGACAAAGAAAAUAAAGUAUGGGCCAUAUGUAAAGGAUGUAAAAAGAAGUAUACAGGGGAUAGCAAGAUGGGGACUUCAAAUCUACACAAACACUUGAAAAGUUGUUCAAGAAAGAGACAGAGAGAUGCAAAACAACAUAGAUUUCCUUCUGAUUUGGGAGGGAAUUUUGUAUUUGUUCAAGAAAGGAGUCGCCUUAACCUUGCUAGAAUGAUUAUGAAGCUCGGAUGUCCAUUGGAUCUGGUUCAAAAUGAGUUCUUCAAAACAUUUGUCUGCGAUCUGAAGCCAAAGUUUCAACUCUGUUCACAAGACACUGUUCAGGCUGAUGCUAUUUCUAUUUACAGACAAUAGAAAGAGAAACUAAUGAAAUAUCUUGAUAAUCUCUCAUCUCUAUUCAGUUUAACAAUUGAUUUGCAGUCAUACGGUGAUAACAAGAUGUCAUGCUGCUUGACUAUGCAUUUUAUUGAUGAUGGGUGGAGGAUGAAUAAGAAGAUUUUGGCUUUCAGGAGUAUAGAACAUGAUUAUAUGAAUGAAGCUGUGAAAGAUGUGCUAGUGGAGUGGAACAUCAACAAGAAAGUGCACUUCAUGUUUGCAGAAAUUGCUCCUCCAAACAGUCAAAUGACUAGAGAAUUCAGAAGUCAGCAUCUCGGUCAAUUCGCACAUAUGAAUUGGGACUAGCUAUGUUUUUCAUGCCAUGCACAACUCUUGAACUUGUUGCUGGAGAUGGGUUUUAUGAGAUAAAAGACGUGCUUAACAAGAUUAGGGGCUGUAUUGUAUAUGUGAAUGCAACACCAAUUAACCAAGAUAAGUUUCGGGAAGCAAUUAAUAAUGUGAAAUUGCAAGAUAUGAAAGCAGCCUCUCAUGAUGAUCCUACCACAUGGGAUGCCACAUUUGUCAUGCUCAUGAGUGCAUUGGAAUUAAGAGAAGCUUUUUCUCAACUCGAGCAAGUUGAUUUUGAUUUUAAGGUGAAUCCAUCCAAAGAGGAGUGGAAGAAGGCAAUGGUUGUAAGUGGGUGUUUAAAAGUGCUAAACAAAUAUUUAGGCAGUUCUUCAUCAAAGCAUAGAUGCAUUCUUCCUCAAUGUUUGCUAUAUUUAUAAGAACUUGCUUUCUUGGGGAAAGAGUGAGCACACAUAUGUUUGAAAUUACUCAAUUAAGAAAACCUUGUUAGCGUUUUUUUUUAGUCUAGAAAAACACAAGGAUGAAAUUGAAAACAAUUAAAGUAUAAGAAUAGAGGAAAAAUAUCAGUAAAUUUAAAGGGGCAGAAAAUAAGUUAGUUUUAAAACCCAAAGCCAAAAAUCAACAAGUCAACCUCCUUCAAGUCUGUAACCGCUCCUCAUCGUUCCACUUUCCAGCCAUGGAUAAGAUGAUCUGAGGAGUGAGAAGAAUUGUCGCGGACAAAAUUGUCGAAAUACAAAUGGAUUUGGAACAUUUGUCUUGCGUCGAUGAUGAUUUGCCUCCUGCAACGUCGAGUCUAUGGGAAAAGAUGGGAAAAGCGUUAUCGUUGCUUAAAAAUUCUUUAGGAAUCGGCCUGCAAAAUCUCCCUUACCCUCACUUGUGCGUCCCAAAUUCUACGCUUCUUGAAUAUCGUCAACUGGAGGGUAUUAUUGCCUUUCCGGUCUUUGAUUCUGAUCAACCCAUGCAUUGCCGUGCUGUGCUGGAGCUUGUGACCAUGGAUGAGAAACGGGAUUUUGAUUUAGAGACGGAAAAAGGUUUCCAGGUUUGUUUUCAUAUCCGGAUUUAGGAGAAUAAGAAAGAGAUGAAAGAAAGUAGCUUUCCUUAGCAUAUCGAGUUUGAAGUCAAAGUUAUUGUCUGUUCUACUUUCGAAAUCUCAUGAAAUGUGAAUUUUCCCCUCAGCUUCAUUUUCUGUGAUCUCUGUGUUUGCAUUUGCUAGUGUUUCUGAGGUGAAACAAUCUUUAAGCUUUAAAUUAGAGCUCAUGAGGCAUUCAGUAUUACAACUGCAUGCAUUAGCUUGAGUCCAAAAUAUUUGUGCCAUUAAAAUAUAUGGGCAAAGAGGCAUUGGUCUUGUUUGAUGGUGUUAUAAACUCUGUAUAAGCCCAACUGUUUGCAGGCUGCGGAUUUACGGAUCAAUUUACAACCUCGACUUCGUCCUGAGGUAUUUAUCAGUAGUACCUUACAGAUUUUUCUAUGCUAAAUUAGGUUGUCUUCUGCUUUGUCUAAUAGAAUUUUUUUUCCCAGUGUUUUUCAAGGGAUCAAAGAGCUGAGUUAACUGAAAUCGCUAAUGUUACCACAGCUGUAUGCCAAACACACAGAUUGCCACUUGCUCUGACAUGGAUUCCUUGUGAUUAUACCUGGGGAGCUGUUGAUGAUAUUUCAAAAUUGCGUGUCAGAUUACGUGAUUCAAGGAUGAUCCGGAAAUGUGUAUUUUUCAUAGAGCGUACAUCUUGUUAUGCCGAUGAGGAGAUGCAAGACUUUGUGCAUGCUUGUGAGCAACUAUUUAUGCACAGUUGGCAAGGUGCUGCUGGACGAGCCUUUAUAAAAUAUCUUCCUUCCUUUGAGCCUGAUGUGAAGGAAAAUCAUGUAAGCGAGUAUCCUCUUGCUCAUCACGCACAAAAGUAUAAUUGGAAUGCUGCAGUUGCAAUCUGGCUAAGGGGCAGUGAUGCUGAUUAUAACUAUAUAUUAGAGUUCUUUCUCCCUAUCCUCAUGAAAGAGAGUUCAGAGCAGCAAGGCUUGGUUAGGAACCUGAAGCUUACACUACGGAAAACUUGUAAGAGCUUGAGAAUGUUUUCAAAAGAAGAAUUACUCUGGGAACGAGGUUCUAAAGUUAGUAAAAACAAUGCUAAAAUUGAACCUGCUCCAAAUGCUGAUGGUAAUAUGUUCACCGUAUGUGCUAAUAAUAAAGACGAAAGGUAUCUGAAGUGCGGAAAUGGUUCGAUGAGGUUAUAGAAGAAAAUGGUGCAGGUAAAGGAUGCAAGAACAAGUAUACAGGGGAUAGCAAGAAGGGAACCUCAAAUCUACACAAACACUUAAAAAGUUAUUCAAAAAAUGGACGAAGAGAUGCAAAAACAAAUAUGCUUGUUCAAUGGCGAAGAGAAUGAAGUUAUCUGGCAUCACCUUCUAAGGACACCAGUUGUCUGACAUCACAUGAUCCAGAUUCUGAUGAUAAGUUUCGGGGAUUCUGUGAGUGGCAUAAGCAGAAAGAUGAUGGCGAUGUGGUUGAUUCACAAAAACUUGAUCUUAAUCGGUAUUUAGGAGAGCCUUUG
This 22719-nucleotide long non-coding RNA is filed under the name Populus trichocarpa (black cottonwood). Its description in RNAcentral is "long non-coding RNA (PTRI_LNC003752)". The record is from RNAcentral. Lineage: Eukaryota; Viridiplantae; Streptophyta; Magnoliopsida; Malpighiales; Salicaceae.